GACGAACGCUGGCGGCGUGCUUAACACAUGCAAGUCGAACGGUGAAGCGCCUUCCUUUUUGGUGGGUGUGGAUGAGUGGCGAACGGGUGAGUAACACGUGAGUAACCUGCCCCCUUCUUCUGGAUAACCGCAUGAAAGUGUGGCUAAUACGGGAUAUUCUGGGUCUGUCGCAUGAUGGGUCUGGGAAAGAUAUUGUUUCGGUGGGGGAUGGGCUCGCGGCCUAUCAGCUUGUUGGUGGGGUGAUGGCCUACCAAGGCGGUGACGGGUAGCCGGCCUGAGAGGGUGGACGGUCACACUGGGACUGAGACACGGCCCAGACUCCUACGGGAGGCAGCAGUGGGGAAUAUUGCACAAUGGGCGCAAGCCUGAUGCAGCGACGCCGCGUGAGGGAUGGAGGCCUUCGGGUUGUGAACCUCUUUCGCCAGUGAAGCAGGCCUGCCUCGUUUGUGGGUGGGUUGACGGUAGCUGGAUAAGAAGCGCCGGCUAACCACGUG
RNAcentral lists this ribosomal RNA (494 nucleotides) under uncultured bacterium. Its description in RNAcentral is "partial 16S ribosomal RNA". It matches the Rfam family "Bacterial small subunit ribosomal RNA", at positions 28 to 507 of the family's 1533-position model. The record is from RNAcentral.